AUCUUCCAAAACCAUGCUCCACUUCCAACUCAGCACCACACUGUUGCUGGCAACAAUAUGUUUGAUCCAGACAACAGUCUCCAUGGAGACAGUCAUCACCUGUGACAAUGGCAGUAAUGUCCAACGCUUGAGAUGCGAUACCGGAGUGGUCCGUGUGGACGCAGCCCUGUACGG
Molecule: long non-coding RNA, 174 nt
Organism: Platichthys flesus (European flounder)
Lineage: Eukaryota; Metazoa; Chordata; Actinopteri; Pleuronectiformes; Pleuronectidae
Exons: 4
Source: RefSeq, a predicted model, not a curated record